UCCCUAUUUAUUGUUGAUAUCCACUUUAUUGGUGAUGAUUAUUUUAUUAUGAAGUCAAGAUUUAUUCUUAAUUAUAUAUAUUUGUAUAGCCUCUAGUUGAUUUAGAGAAGAUUUGCAGUAAUCUUAUUAUUUUAUGUAGUAAAAAAUUCAUAAUACAAAUCUGGUAUCCUUGUGCUUGUUUUGAUUUAUAUUCACUGAAUUUGAUAUUAUUGAG
RNAcentral lists this long non-coding RNA (214 nucleotides) under Elaeis guineensis (African oil palm). RNAcentral describes it as "long non-coding RNA (EGUI_LNC013295)". The record is from RNAcentral. Lineage: Eukaryota; Viridiplantae; Streptophyta; Magnoliopsida; Arecales; Arecaceae.